CCUACGGGAGGCAGCAGUGAGGAAUAUUGGUCAAUGGACGAGAGUCUGAACCAGCCAAGUAGCGUGAAGGAUGACUGCCCUAUGGGUUGUAAACUUCUUUUAUAAUGGAAUAAAACGCGGCACGUGUGCCUUUUUGCAUGUACUUUAUGAAUAAGGAUCGGCCAACUCCGUGCCAGCACCGGCGGUAAUACGGAGGAUCCGAGCUGUUUCCGGAUUUUUUGGGUUUAAAGGGAGCGUAGGUGGGUUGUUAAGUCAGUUGUGAAAGUUUGCGGCUCACCCGUAAAAUUGCAAUUGAUACUGGCAGUCUUGAGUACAGGUGAGGUAGGCGGAAUGCGUGGUGUAGCGGUGAAAUGCUUAGAUAUCACGAAGAACCCCGAUUGCGAAGGCAGCUUAC
This 394-nucleotide ribosomal RNA is filed under the name uncultured bacterium. RNAcentral's name for it is "partial 16S ribosomal RNA". It matches the Rfam family "Bacterial small subunit ribosomal RNA", at positions 338 to 729 of the family's 1533-position model. The record is from RNAcentral.